This is a non-coding RNA of Aegilops tauschii subsp. strangulata, 2206 nucleotides long. The record is from RefSeq and is a predicted model, not a curated record. Lineage: Eukaryota; Viridiplantae; Streptophyta; Magnoliopsida; Poales; Poaceae.
AAUAUAACACAUGCUUUUAGAAAUCUAUUUACUCCUGAAGUUGAUUUUUUAUUGAAUUGAUUUUUAUUUAGUUCCCCACCCAAAUAGGGUAUCAUGGGCCUAACGGUUUAAGCAUGAGAGUGCAAUGUACGAUUCACACACACAACAAUUUUUUAAAUCGACAAACCAUGAAAAUAUGUGACUGAAUAUAUAAUUUUUUUGGGAUUUUAUGACAUUUCAAAAAUAAAUUUUCAUGCGCGGAGCACGUGCUCCUGGGAGCCCAAAUGGAUUUCCUAUGUUUUCUAUAGCUUCAUACUCAUCAGACAUAUACUGUAUUAUGCAAUAAAGAAUAUCCAAAAAUCUUAAUAAUUUGAAUUAAAAUUUAACUUUCAAUGGGUUCUUUAUAUUAUUCACAACCUAAAGCACUCCUUGACUGACUUGAUAAAAAAAUGACGCCCGUCGGACACACACACGCACACGUCGUGGCCACACACACCACUGACACACACUCUCAUCUUGCUCCCGGACAAGCAGCGCCUCCGCCCUCCCCACUGCAUCCCGCCGCCGGCACAGGGACCCUCCCUUGCUGCGUGCUGCUUCGGCAGGGACUGCCCCUCUGCCUCGCCAGUCCCCAUCGCUGCUGAGAUGGCCGCCCUUCUCUUGCCUCUCCACCUCCGUCGGCGGAGGCGCAGACUUCCUCUCCACCAGAUCCUCGGUCGUGGACUCGACAUGAGAGCUGGAGGGCUCCCCUACGCCUACCUCCUCCUCCCGCGGGACAAGACGCAGAAUCGGAGCGAGCGCCGAGGAGCGCCGGCUAGGACGCCUUGCUCCGAUGGGUUGGGCGUGUCGCGAGCCUCACCGUGGCCAAGUACCACAUGCUCCAGAGUGGAUGGUCGACGCCCUCCCCACCUGGCCACCUCACCCGUGACUGGUUUAGCUCUGACAGAAUCAAGUCAAUCAACUAUGGGACAGGUACAGUAUGCAGUUGGGUUCUAGUGUUUAGCUACAGUGCAGGGAAGCAAGCUUGGAUUCACUGGAUGAUGUAUACACACCAAGUGCACCUUGCUUUCAUAAUAGCAAGCAACCUCAUAUUGAGGUACGUUCUCUUCGCUUGCAGCCUUUUUAAGAGUUUGGUUUUUCCAGUUAGUCUCUUCUGAUGGUGAUGCUUGAUAAGUGGUGUUUAUCAGCGUGUUGUCUCAGAAAAUCGCUUUCUCCGGUGGUUGAUAAUUUUAGCUCUAUAUGCUUGUGUUGCAAACAGCAGAAGCAACUGGACAACCAUUUGUUUCAUAAACUCAAACCAUUGAACUUAAAAACAUCACCUUCCGCAGCUGGUGUGUAUCGCAGUUGAGUGAAAGCAGAUUGCCCAGUGGGCUUCUCCGCAGUGUGAAAAUCUGUCAGAAAGAAUUGAUCAUAGAUAUGAUUAUACUUGUGACUGCUACAUCAUAAAGAACAGAAAAAAUGGACAAACCAGGUGAUAUGGCCACGGGUGUCUUAGAUGGAGUGCGCUUUCAAUUUAGAAAGGAGAUGUAGCUUUGUUAUUAUCCCUUGCCUCGUGUCUUCUUUUUAAUAUCUCAUCCCUGUUUAGUGCAUACCUCUCCUUUCCCUUUGUUUCUUUAAUUCUUUUGGAUCUGCUUUUUGACCUGUCUCCAAGAAAAUCUUCAGGAUCUAUAAGGUCCAAGUAGGUAAGAGUUGGUGAUAUAUUUAUUUACCCUGGGUAAAUAGCAAAUCAAGUAAAUAAGAAAGUCUUGUACAUCUCAUUUUGGAAAUUUCAGAAAUGAUCAAGAGGUGAAGUCCACUUUGAUUUUUACCUUGUGCAGACUUAGGUUUGUUGUAGGUCCUUGUAAUCAUGGUUUUCUUUAAAAAAAAUCAUACAUCAUCGAACCAUGCUGAACUCACGUGUACAGAGUAUGCUGUCAUCAUCUUACAUAGCAUCUUCUAUAAAUCGUACACAAAAUUUCGGAAUCUGAACUACACAACUUUGAAACAAACUGAAAAGUUAUCAGCAUCUGCACUAAACAUUGGUAAGUUAGCUUUAGGAGAAACAUACUCAAAGAAUAUCUGAGUUGGCCGUUAUUCAUCUUGACAGUAAGGCACGAUAGUCAUUAAAUUCGUAUUACGAUUCUUCAUGCCAACACUACAACCUACAACAGUAAAUCAUAUAUAUAACUAUGUCCGAAACUUGACAUCAUACAAUGUGGAAGAAGGAAUUAAAUUGCCAAAAAUAUAU